This is a non-coding RNA of Camelina sativa (false flax), 382 nucleotides long. The record is from RefSeq and is a predicted model, not a curated record. NCBI's taxonomy places the organism in Eukaryota, Viridiplantae, Streptophyta, Magnoliopsida, Brassicales, Brassicaceae.
CCGCAAAUCACUCGGCAUCACUAAACCACCCCACCUUGGCGAACCAUAGAUGAGAAGCUAGAGGAGCAUGGUGAAGAAGAAAACGACAACCUCGAGGAUGAUUCAGAGGAGACUCCCUUAUGUUUCUCCUUUGCUGCAGCUUUCUUCUUCUUACUCUUCUCCUGCAAUUCCAGUUUUAAUGGAGAAGACAUUUGCAAGCAAAGACUAAUAAGAGAGAAGAGAAUGUUACCUGAAGGCAGAGACUUGAGCUCAUCUCCGGUGACGGCAACACGUCUCGGUGGAUAAUGUUGCCGAGGAAGUAAAUUUAGAAGAAGAAGAAGAGACAGGAGGACAAAGAAGAACCCAGCAUUAAGACAGAGGUAAAGCUACUUGUGAAGUUAUG